AUUCUGGCUCAGAACGAACGCUGGCGGCGUGGAUAAGACAUGCAAGUCGUGCGACAGACCAGGAAUUGAUUACUUCGGUUUGAUUUUCCUGACGAUGAGCGGCGAACGGGUGCGUAACACGUGAGAAACCUGCCUUGAAGUUCGGGAUAGCUCGGCGAAAGUCGAAUUAAUACCGGAUGUGGCCUAGGGAUAGCAUUUUCCCUUGGUUAAAGCUCGGUCACAGAGCGCUUUUAGAUGGUCUCGCGGUCUAUCAGCUUGUUGGUGAGGUAACGGCUCACCAAGGCUACGACGGAUAACUGAUCUGAGAGGAUGAUCAGUCACACUGGAACUGAGACACGGUCCAGACACCUACGGGUGGCAGCAGUCGAGAAUCAUUCACAAUGGGCGCAAGCCUGAUGGUGCGACGCCGCGUGGGGGAUGAAGGGCUUCGGUCUGUAAACCCCUGUCAUCUGUGAGUAAGGUCUCGUAUAAAAGCUACGAGGAUUGAUAUUAGCAGAAGAGGAAGGGACGGCUAACUCUGUGCCAGCAGCCGCGGUAAUACAGAGGUCCCAAGCGUUGUUCGGAUUUACUGGGCGUAAAGGGUGCGUAGGCGGUUAGAAAAGUUUGGUGUGAAAUCUUCGGGCUCAACCCGGAAACUGCACUGAAAACUAUUUAACUAGAGGAUCGGAGAGGAGAUUGGAAUUCUCAGUGUAGCAGUGAAAUGCGUAGAUAUUGAGAGGAACACCAGUUGCGAAGGCGGAUCUCUGGACGAUUCCUGACGCUGAGGCACGAAAGCUGGGGGAGCGAAGAGGAUUAGAUACCCUCGUAGUCCCAGCCGUAAACGGUGCGCACUUGCUGUGGGCGGAUUCGACCCCGUCCGUGGCGAAGCUAACGCGUUAAGUGCGCCGCCU
RNAcentral lists this ribosomal RNA (890 nucleotides) under marine metagenome. RNAcentral's name for it is "bacterial SSU rRNA". It matches the Rfam family "Bacterial small subunit ribosomal RNA", at positions 16 to 874 of the family's 1533-position model. The record is from RNAcentral.